AGCUCUUUCUGUUUCAUGUAUUGUGAUGAAUGGGUGUUCACUCACCUGAGUGAGAUGUACCACCCCCAACCUUUCAA
Molecule: small nucleolar RNA, 77 nt
Filed under: Notamacropus eugenii (tammar wallaby)
Lineage: Eukaryota; Metazoa; Chordata; Mammalia; Diprotodontia; Macropodidae
Description: Small nucleolar RNA U13 (ENSMEUG00000018221.1)
Source: RNAcentral